AUUGAACGCUGGCGGCAGGCUUAACACAUGCAAGUCGAGCGAGAGGCGGACGGGUGAGUAAUGUCUGGGAAACUGCCUGAUGGAGGGGGAUAACUACUGGAAAAGGUAGCUAAUACCGCAUACCAUCGGAUGUGCCCAGAGGGGAUUAGCUAGUAGGUGGGGUAAUGGCUCACCGAGGCGAAGAUCCCUAGCUGGUCUGAGAGGAUGACCAGCAGAACUGGAACUGAGACACGGUCCAGACUCCUACGGGAGGCAGCAGUGGGGAAUAUUGAACAAUGGGCGCAAGCCUGAUGCAGCCAUGCCGCGUGUGUGAAGAAGGCCUUCGGGUUGUAAAGCACUUUCAGCGAGGAGGCGUUGCUCGCAGAAGAAGCACCGGCUAACUCCGUGCCAGCAGCCGCGGUAAUAC
Molecule: ribosomal RNA, 406 nt
Filed under: uncultured bacterium
Lineage: Bacteria
Description: partial 16S ribosomal RNA
Rfam family: Bacterial small subunit ribosomal RNA
Source: RNAcentral